This 273-nucleotide unclassified non-coding RNA is filed under the name uncultured Microascaceae. RNAcentral describes it as "sequence contains ITS2". The record is from RNAcentral. Lineage: Eukaryota; Fungi; Ascomycota; Sordariomycetes; Microascales.
AACGCACAUUGCGCCCGGCAGUAAUCUGCCGGGCAUGCCUGUCCGAGCGUCAUUUCAGCCCUCGAACCACUAUUCACGUAGCUGGAUCGGUGUUGGGGCACUACGGUGGAAUACCCGUAGGCCCCUAAAUGAAGUGGCGGUCCCGCCGCGGCGCCCCCAUGCGUAGUAACUUUCAGUCUCGCAUCGGGUCCCGGCGGAGGCCUGCCGUCAAGCCUAUUUUAUCUUUACAGAUGGUUUGACCUCGGAUCAGGUAGGGUUACCCGCUGAACUUAA